RNAcentral lists this unclassified non-coding RNA (420 nucleotides) under fungal sp. Its description in RNAcentral is "partial internal transcribed spacer region". The stretch from base 1 to 46 matches the Rfam family "Eukaryotic small subunit ribosomal RNA", at positions 1786 to 1831 of the family's 1831-position model. Lineage: Eukaryota; Fungi. The record is from RNAcentral.
AAGUCGUAACAAGGUUUCCGUAGGUGAACCUGCGGAAGGAUCAUUAAUACGCUUUUGUUUGUAACAAAACAAAACGUUUUAAACUCCAAAAGAAAUAGUGGAAAUAUAACUUCCGGAUGCGAAUGUUGGGAACUGAGUAAAAUCGGUUCUUUGAAAAAGGGACUUCAAGUAAUUGACACUUCAGAGUAGAGCAGUGAGGUGAAAUUCUCUUUAAUGAGAGUUUGGUUCUGAAAAACAUUUGUAUCCGGUUAUCAUAAUCUGUUCUACAACCUCCAAAAUAUCAAACAAUAAACCCCAUGUACAACAACUUGAACUAAACAUUUUUUUGUCGUCCGCUUACACACUUGUUGUGUGAGAAGAUACUGCAAAGAAAAAACCUGAACUUAAGAACAACUCUUAACAACGGAUAUCUUGGUUCUC